This 253-nucleotide ribosomal RNA is filed under the name uncultured bacterium. Its description in RNAcentral is "partial 16S ribosomal RNA". It matches the Rfam family "Bacterial small subunit ribosomal RNA", at positions 524 to 776 of the family's 1533-position model. The record is from RNAcentral.
UACGGAGGGUGCAAGCGUUAUCCGGAUUCACUGGGUUUAAAGGGUGCGUAGGUGGGCAGGUAAGUCAGUGGUGAAAUCUCCGGGCUUAACCCGGAAACUGCCGUUGAUACUAUCUGUCUUGAAUAUAGUGGAGGUGAGCGGAAUAUGUCAUGUAGCGGUGAAAUGCUUAGAUAUGGCAUAGAACACCCAUUGCGAAGGCAGCUCGCUACACUAUCAUCGACACUGAGGCACGAAAGCGUGGGGAUCAAACAGG